AAAAAAAUCUGGCAGGGGAGAUACCUUGAUCAUGAAGGUGGUUUUCCCAGGGCAAGGCUUAUCCAUUACAGUCCAGAUGAGCUGACCCCUGCAAUUUCUCCAAAUGCAGGAAACUCGACUGUAUAAUUUGUGGUUAGUGGGGGACUAUGUUCGCACUCUCCCCUG
Molecule: small nuclear RNA, 165 nt
Filed under: Carlito syrichta (Philippine tarsier)
Lineage: Eukaryota; Metazoa; Chordata; Mammalia; Primates; Tarsiidae
Description: U1 spliceosomal RNA (ENSTSYG00000022023.2)
Rfam family: U1 spliceosomal RNA
About the family: U1 is a small nuclear RNA (snRNA) component of the spliceosome (involved in pre-mRNA splicing). Its 5' end forms complementary base pairs with the 5' splice junction, thus defining the 5' donor site of an intron.
Source: Rfam by way of RNAcentral